Molecule: ribosomal RNA, 453 nt
Filed under: uncultured Porphyromonadaceae bacterium
Lineage: Bacteria; Pseudomonadati; Bacteroidota; Bacteroidia; Bacteroidales; Porphyromonadaceae
Description: partial 16S ribosomal RNA
Rfam family: Bacterial small subunit ribosomal RNA
Source: RNAcentral
ACGGAAGGCAGCAGUGAGGAAUAUUGGUCAAUGGGCGAAAGCCUGAGCCAGCCAAGUCGCGUGAAGGAUGAAGGUAUUAUGUAUUGUAAACUUCUUUAGCAGCAGAGUAAUAAGGGGGUCGUGACCCCCGAUGCAAGUAUGCUGAAAAUAAGGAUCGGCUAACUCCGUGCCAGCAGCCGCGGUAAUACGGAGGAUCCGAGCGUUAUCCGGAUUUAUUGGGUUUAAAGGGUGCGCAGGCGGUUUUUUAAGUCAGUGGUUAAAUCGUGAGGCUCAACCUCAUCACGCCAUUGAUACUGGAAGACUUGAUUGCGGUUGAGGUUGGCGGAAUUCGUCGUGUAGCGGUGAAAUGCAUAGAUAUGACGAAGAACACCGAUUGCGUAGGCAGCUGACCAAGCCGUAAAUGACGCUCAUGCACGAAAGUGCGGGGAUCGAACAGGAUUAGAUACCCUGGUA